This 24-nucleotide non-coding RNA is filed under the name Arabidopsis thaliana (thale cress). Lineage: Eukaryota; Viridiplantae; Streptophyta; Magnoliopsida; Brassicales; Brassicaceae. The record is from RNAcentral.
UCCAUCCUCUUUCAGGUCGUCUCC